UACGUAGGGUGCGAGCGUUAAUCGGAAUUACUGGGCGUAAAGCGUGCGCAGGCGGUGAUGUAAGACAGAUGUGAAAUCCCCGGGCUCAACCUGGGACCUGCAUUUGUGACUGCAUCGCUAGAGUACGGCAGAGGGGGAUGGAAUUCCGCGUGUAGCAGUGAAAUGCGUAGAUAUGCGGAGGAACACCGAUGGCGAAGGCAGCCCCCUGGGUCAAGAUUGACGCUCAUGCACGAAAGCGUGGGGAGCAAACAGG
Molecule: ribosomal RNA, 253 nt
Filed under: uncultured bacterium
Lineage: Bacteria
Description: partial 16S ribosomal RNA
Rfam family: Bacterial small subunit ribosomal RNA
Source: RNAcentral